UAAGUGGGUAGUGAAAUCGUAUGGCUCAACCAUGCUCACAUUACCUAAACUGCUCAGCUAGAGGAUGAGAGAGGUACCUGGAAUUCCUUGUGUAGGAGUGAAAUCCGUAGAUAUAAGGAGGAACACCGAUGGCGUAGGCAGGGUACUGGCUCAUUUCUGACACUAAGGCACGAGAGCGUGGGGAGCAAACGGGAUUAGAUACCCCGGUAGUCCACGCCGUAAACGAUGGAUGCUA
RNAcentral lists this ribosomal RNA (235 nucleotides) under uncultured Candidatus Saccharibacteria bacterium. RNAcentral's name for it is "partial 16S ribosomal RNA". It matches the Rfam family "Bacterial small subunit ribosomal RNA", at positions 584 to 818 of the family's 1533-position model. Lineage: Bacteria; Candidatus Saccharimonadota. The record is from RNAcentral.